GCGGUUACACUUGUUCUUCAACUCAAAGAUAAAAUGCGAAUUAAAAUUAAUUUUUUUGUCUAAUAAAGUUUAAUAAUCAAGAUUUCAAAAUUUAUUAAUUAAGCUGGAUUAGUACCCAGUUAAAGAGUUGGAUAAAGUUAGGUCAAACCUAAAUUAAAUGGCAGUACUAUUAGAAUGCAGAGAAAUUUGAAGUUAAGAAAAUCCCCUUUAUUUUUGAUUUCUUAAAGGUUUAAGUAUGGCUGUCCAAAAAUAGGUUUCUGCUUAAAUUUGUAGUCAAGUAACAUUUAACUUAAGAGAUAACUUUGAAUUGCAAAAAAAUAGUUAUUAGAAGUAAGUUAAUACAAGGAUUUGCAAGUAAAUAAACAAUAUUUGAAAAAAUCUAGUACA
Molecule: ribosomal RNA, 387 nt
Filed under: Tigriopus fulvus
Lineage: Eukaryota; Metazoa; Arthropoda; Copepoda; Harpacticoida; Harpacticidae
Description: partial small subunit ribosomal RNA
Source: RNAcentral